RNAcentral lists this unclassified non-coding RNA (404 nucleotides) under soil metagenome. RNAcentral describes it as "partial contains 5.8S ribosomal RNA, internal transcribed spacer 2, and large subunit ribosomal RNA". The stretch from base 1 to 121 matches the Rfam family "5.8S ribosomal RNA", at positions 35 to 154 of the family's 154-position model. The record is from RNAcentral.
GAUGAAGAACGCAGCGAAAUGCGAUAAGUAAUGUGAAUUGCAGAAUUCAGUGAAUCAUCGAAUCUUUGAACGCACCUUGCGCCCUUUGGCCAUUCCGAAGGGCAUGCCUGUUUGAGUAUCAUGAACACCUCAACUCCUCAUGGUCUUCUAUGAUGAGCUUGGACUUUGGGGGCUUGCUGGCCCAUUUGGUCAGCUCCUCUCAAAUGAAUCAGCCUACCAGUGUUUGGUGGCACCACAGGUGUGAUAACAAUCUACGCUUGAGGUUUUCUACCAGGCAACCUUCAGUAAUUGGGGUUCACUGGGGCUCACAAAUGUCUUUCUUCAGUGAGGACAGCUCUUUGAAUGUUUGAUCUCAAAUCAGGUAGGACUACCCGCUGAACUUAAGCAUAUCAAUAAGCGGAGGA